UGAACGCUAGCGGCAGGCUUAACACAUGCAAGUCGAGGGGCAGCGGGAUGUAGCAAUACAUUGCCGGCGACCGGCGGAUGGGUGCGUAACGCGUAUGCAACCUACCUUAGUACAGGGGGAAUAACCUUUCGAAAGGGAGACUAACACCCCAUAGUAUUGAUUUAAGGCAUCUUAGAUUAAUUAAAUAUUUAUAGGUAUAAGAUGGGCAUGCGUAUGAUUAGCUAGUUGGUAAGGUAACGGCUUACCAAGGCGACGAUCAUUAGGGGUUCUGAGAGGAAGGUCCCCCACACUGGUACUGAGACACGGGACCAGACUCCUACGGGAGGCAGCAGUGAGGAAUAUUGGUCAAUGGGCGCAAGCCUGAACCAGCCAUGCCGCGUGCAGGAAAGACGGCCUUAUGGGUUGUAAACUGCUUUUACAUAAGACUAACCGUAUAUUUGCGAAUAUACCUGAAUGUAUUAUGAGAAUAAGGAUCGGCUAACUCCGUGCCAGCAGCGGC
This 499-nucleotide ribosomal RNA is filed under the name uncultured bacterium. RNAcentral describes it as "bacterial SSU rRNA". It matches the Rfam family "Bacterial small subunit ribosomal RNA", at positions 30 to 518 of the family's 1533-position model. The record is from RNAcentral.